CAGUCGCCGCGGGAAUACAGAGGUCCCGAGCGUUGUUCGGAUUCACUGGGCGUAAAGCGUGAGUAGGCGGCUUUUUAAGUCGGAUGUGAAAUCCCUGAGCUUAACUUAGGAAUUGCAUUCGAUACUGGGAAGCUAGAGUAUGGGAGAGGAUGGUAGAAUUCCAGGUGUAGCGGUGAAAUGCGUAGAGAUCUGGAGGAAUACCGAUGGCGAAGGCAGCCAUCUGGCCUAAUACUGACGCUGAGGUACGAAAGCAUGGGGAGCAAACAGGAUUAGAUACCCCCGUAGUCCCUGUCUCUUAUAC
This 301-nucleotide ribosomal RNA is filed under the name uncultured bacterium. RNAcentral describes it as "partial 16S ribosomal RNA". It matches the Rfam family "Bacterial small subunit ribosomal RNA", at positions 509 to 807 of the family's 1533-position model. The record is from RNAcentral.